UGGGAAGCAGGCUUUCACCAGAAACCAAACCUGCUGGUGCCUUGAUCUUAGAUGUCCAGCCUCUAGAAUGGGGAAAGUAUGGCAACCUGAAAGGCCAAACAUCAGGCCUUGGGGAGAGUUAAGAACGUGCAAAACAGGUUUUGUGGAACAUGGCAUCGGUUGUUGAUGUGAUAAUGUGCACAGUAAGGUUGGGUAAAAUUCACAAAUCAACAAUAUGCAAGGAACGUUGAAAUGAGUUAAGCACCACAGGGAACCAAAACUGCGCAUGACACGGUUCCUACUUUCAAGGAACUUCCUAACACAUUGGAAAGACAGUUACAUGAUAAAGACUAGUAUGUCUUUACAUAUAGAAAACAUGGAUUCCUGAAAAGUGAGGGUUAUUUAAGCUGAGAAGUCGAAGAUCAAAGUGCCAGCAGAUUCUGUGUCUGGUGAGAACCUGCUUCCUGGUUCGAAGACAGCCGUCUUCUCACUUUAUGAGAAGUGUCCUUACGUGGCAGAAGGGGCCCACCUGGCUACUGAAGAAAUUUGCAAACCUAAUGAAAAUAUGAAACAACCCCAGUUCCAGGCCAGCCCCCACAUUGGCUGUCCAUCCCUGUGAGGUUGCAUUCUCCCAAGCAUUUGUCGAGCUGUCCAAGAGCCCUACAACACUCUCCAGUGGGGAAGCAGGCAAAUUUGGACACAGCAGAUGUCUGCUCCUGAAGACAGCUGGAAAUAACCACGUCUGAUAGAAUCAGCCAUGAGAGCGGGGCAGCACUGUUGUGUGUAAACAGCGUGUUAUCUCUGAGACUCUUAGACAGUGACACAAGCAGCCCCAGGCUCAACCUGUCCUCGAAACAGCAGUGAAGACACUUCACAUCUAGUCUUGUCCACAUAGAAUGAGAAUCACAGGCUUUUAGGACUGAAAGCCCCUUGGAGAUCAUGUCACAAGCCUCUCGUUUUGCAGAUUAACACCGAAAACAAAACCUAUAGACAAGGGGAUAUGUGGAGAAGUGUGAUAUUUAUAAUUGUCACAUAUGCAUGCCAGGAUCCCUAUGUAUUAUUUUAUUGGGCUUAAGCUAGUACAUUUGU
RNAcentral lists this long non-coding RNA (1068 nucleotides) under Equus caballus (horse). RNAcentral's name for it is "lncRNA (ENSECAG00000056294.1)". The record is from RNAcentral. Lineage: Eukaryota; Metazoa; Chordata; Mammalia; Perissodactyla; Equidae.